Malus domestica (apple) is the source of this 1065-nucleotide non-coding RNA. The record is from RefSeq and is a predicted model, not a curated record. NCBI's taxonomy places the organism in Eukaryota, Viridiplantae, Streptophyta, Magnoliopsida, Rosales, Rosaceae.
GAGAUUUCGCAUAUAUGGUAAUGAAGUAGUUGAAGGGUCCCUAUCUCAUCAAUUAGUGGAAAGUCGUUUUUGCCCAUAUGUUGGCCUUGCGUUUUUCAUUGUUAAUCUCUACUUCAACCGUGCCUUCUUGUUCGCUUUACCUUUUUCUUCAUUUGUGCUUUUCAUGUCUUCCUUUCGCCCUCUGUUUUUCUUGAAUCCUUCGUUGCUCUCGAAUUUUUCGUUCCUUAUUUCACAAAAUAUUCACCAAACAAAUCCUGAUUUUCGUUUUUUAGGGGAUUUUGUUUGCGCUCUCCGUUUUGAGGGAAGUUGUGUUCCUCUGUAAAGCUAGCUGUAGAACUAGGGUUCUGGGAGUUUUGUGGAAAGUCAUAAAAUUCGUUUCUAGGGUUCUUAAAGUUGCAAUUGGCGGGCCAAAACUUCAUAGUAUUUGUUUCUUUGCCGUUUGGGAUUCCGGAGUUGUCGCUGGAUUUAUGGUGAAUAUGUAGCACGGUUUGGGAGAGACUGUCUUCAGAUCAUUGUGGUGAGCUGCAGUGCUUUGUCAAGGCUUUCGUGCUUAAAGGGGCAUUUUGCAUUUUGCUACCUGAGUUCAUAAAUCUCAGAUUUGGCAGCAAUCGGAACACAACUGUUAUUUUAUGGAGAGGAGUGCAAUGACUCCAAUUUUAGGAAGUUUGUGCUUUUGGUUUGUACGAGAAAGAGAGAACACGAAGUGGGAGAGGAAGAUACAAAAUAGUAAGUUUAAUUGUAAUUUAUUUAUUUUUUUUAAUACUGUUAGCGGAGGAACGCAUCUGUUGGGUGAAGUGGUAGGUCUAAAAAUGGAUAUCAUACAGUUGAAGAACCCAUAUGUGGUGUUUAUUUUUAGACAAGAUGGGAAGAUGUAAACAGUGGGAGGUCCAUACCAUUUUCCAAGUUCUUUAUUAAUGUGAAUGUUUAUGUUAUUCUGAUUAGGAACUUAAGUGAAUAAAUCGUUUUCGAAUUUGUAAACAAAUAAUUGCUUACAAAAUAAUGAACUCUGUUAAACAAAAAUAAUUGCUUACAGUAGAGAAUAACUAUAAACAUUAUUGAUGUAUA